This is a long non-coding RNA of Drosophila montana, 342 nucleotides long. RefSeq lists it as uncharacterized. The record is from RefSeq and is a predicted model, not a curated record. Lineage: Eukaryota; Metazoa; Arthropoda; Insecta; Diptera; Drosophilidae. The transcript is spliced from 2 exons.
AGUCAUUACGAGGUUGCACUAUGAAGGUAACACUGUUUUUAAUUUGCUUGCUUUUGGCAAUCGAUUUGAGUUUUGGGGGUGGAGAUGAUAUGCAGCAAAUUGUUGGAGGAAUUUGUGGUGGUGCGAGUAAAAGUGGUGUCUGUUUGAAGGCAAAUACUUUCAACUACAAUGCCAGCACUAGGAAGUGCGAAAAAGUGGAACGAGAUGGGGGAGCUUGUGGAUUCUUUAAGUUUAAGGAGAGAUGCGAACAAUUAUGUAAUAGUGUGAAAAAGGAAUUAGUUCGCAAAGCAAACCGCUUGCCCCAACCAAUCUCCAAAUAAAUGAAUAUUGCUGAUAUUUAAA